CAUCAAAGAUAAGCUAUACUUUUAUUACCCAUGUUAAAUAGUUGGACUCCCUGUGAUAUUAUUUUGGGUGGUUCUGUCCUUUUUUUUAUAUCAGGAAUUGGUAUUUAGUUUGUUUUUGGACACAGGUUCUUGAUCGUGUACCCCAGCGUUCGGUGUUCAUUGAUUCCGACAGGCGUUUUUAAAGAAAAUGAAAAAUGGCAGGAAACUCUUCACCAUUAGUUUCACAGGGUUGCUUGGUCAAGUUGUUCAAUGGUAUGGUCUUCCUAGACCCCUGUACAGACAAUACUACAAAGCCAAAAAAGACAAGUACAAGGUUGUUGUGAAGCUCACAAUGAACAAGGAAGAUUUACCAAUCAUAGUUUAUAGUAAACUACACAAAGACAUUGCACAAGCCUCUGAAGAUGCAGCAAAACAAGAAGUGAAAAUUAUUCAACAAACAUAUAAUUUCGAUGUAGACGAUAUUAACUAUGAAGUAUGCAUGCAACAAAGGAGAAAAAGACGUUUAACCGAGAUUAAGCUAGCCACGGAAGAGAUGAGCUUCAAUGAUCUUAAGCGAAGCUACUUUGAAGUUUGUGAUGAGAAUAGAAUUUUCCGACAACAUCUACAAAAUUUAGGGCAUUUAAAUAAGUAGAAAAAUAUCUACUAAGCCAAAGUAUAUUAGUUUUUUUGUUUGGUGCAAAAGUCAAACUAUAUUAGUUGGAUUGUUAUCUAUUUUAAAAAUUUGCCGA
This is a long non-coding RNA of Spinacia oleracea (spinach), 728 nucleotides long. RefSeq lists it as uncharacterized. Lineage: Eukaryota; Viridiplantae; Streptophyta; Magnoliopsida; Caryophyllales; Amaranthaceae. The transcript has 2 exons. The record is from RefSeq and is a predicted model, not a curated record.